Molecule: long non-coding RNA, 763 nt
Filed under: Sorghum bicolor (sorghum)
Lineage: Eukaryota; Viridiplantae; Streptophyta; Magnoliopsida; Poales; Poaceae
Description: long non-coding RNA (SBIC_LNC010126)
Source: RNAcentral
AGAUAAAACUGGAGGGUACAGAGAGUCACUUAGCAACAACAGAACUGCUAAUGAAGAAAUGCUAACCUGCUGAUAAAUUUGUGCACGGAAAACUGAUAAAGCCUCAUUUGUCAGAUAUAGAACAAAUAAGCCUCCAAUAACUGGGAAGCAAUAACAGGUUAACAUUUUCUUUUGGAAUACUAUUACAAAAAUCCAAAACUAAUAUAUUAGUUUGCUACAGAUAGUUUCUUAAUAAGUUUAGUUCGAAACCAAUUUCACAAACCAGUGAAUUUGACACAGCCAUUUUGAUGGAUAGUAAGAGCAGAGCCAUGGGACUGAACAAAGUCCAAUAGUGCAGAUCAGUCAUUUAGAGAAGUUAAACGGGCAUAGGCACUCAAACACUCGGUGAAAAAAAUCUAGGAACACAUAUAGAGAGAAGGAGGCUCAGAAGGAAUCUCACAUCUCCAUCAAAAUCACAGUUGAAUUUGACGCCAUCGUCCUGCUCUUCUAGUUGUUAUCAGUUUCGUCCUGUGUGCAUAUAUGCAUAUGGAAAAAAAUCAGAAGCAUCCGGCCAAUAAAGAGGUAACACCAGCAUUCAUAUUUGGACUUGAGCCAUUAGAAAUUGUGCAGUUAUGAAAUCUUGACAACUUUUGCACCAGCAUUGCAAGCAGAUAAAGCCUAUGAAUGCCAAAAAGCAAAUAUGCCAAAGAACAAAAAUAUGGUUGCAUAGCUCAGAAGUGCUUUACCUGAAUUUGAUGGAAGUUCACACAUCAAGUGAUACAUA